GAUGAACGCUGGCGGCGUGCCUAAUACAUGCAAGUCGAGCGAACGGACGAGAAGCUUGCUUUUCUGAUGUUAGCGGCGGACGGGUGAGUAACACGUGGAUAACCUACCUAUAAGACUGGGAUAACUUCGGGAAACCGGAGCUAAUACCGGAUAAUAUUUUGAACCGCAUGGUUCAAAAGUGAAAGACGGUCUUGCUGUCACUUAUAGAUGGAUCCGCGCUGCAUUAGCUAGUUGGUAAGGUAACGGCUUACCAAGGCAACGAUGCAUAGCCGACCUGAGAGGGUGAUCGGCCACACUGGAACUGAGACACGGUCCAGACUCCUACGGGAGGCAGCAGUAGGGAAUCUUCCGCAAUGGGCGAGAGCCUGACGGAGCAACGCCGCGUGAGUGAUGAAGGUCUUCGGAUCGUAAAACUCUGUUAUUAGGGAAGAACAUAUGUGUAAGUAACUGUGCACAUCUUGACGGUACCUAAUCAGAAAGCCACGGCUAACUACGUG
This 497-nucleotide ribosomal RNA is filed under the name uncultured bacterium. Its description in RNAcentral is "partial 16S ribosomal RNA". It matches the Rfam family "Bacterial small subunit ribosomal RNA", at positions 28 to 507 of the family's 1533-position model. The record is from RNAcentral.